RNAcentral lists this long non-coding RNA (755 nucleotides) under Pogona vitticeps (central bearded dragon). Its description in RNAcentral is "lncRNA (ENSPVIG00000005868.1)". Lineage: Eukaryota; Metazoa; Chordata; Lepidosauria; Squamata; Agamidae. The record is from RNAcentral.
AUGGUACUUCCCCCUGCUCUCAGUACAGAAUAUCCAUACAUGGGGAAAAAGUGGUGUACAAAUAUGGAUUUUGAUGUCAUUAUGCAAAGAUACUACUGCUUUUCUGAAGGUCACUUCUUCUGCUACGACAUCAAUGGGAAAUUGCUACUUGAGAUACUAAAUGCCCACCAGACUGCUAUUCUCUCAUGUAUCUACUCAUCUGAUGUUAAAAUUUUACUUACUUCCUCUAGAGGCAGUGAAAUAAAAUCUUGGAAUGAUCAAGGCUGCUUGUUGCAUAUAUUUCAAGGACAUUCUAAAACUGUCACAAAGCUUCUACUGCAUCCAAAUACAGCUUCAUUAUUUAUCUCUGGGUCACUAGAUGGAUCAAUCAAACUCUGGUCAUUUGAUACAAUGGACAUUUUUUAUAGGUAUUAUAGUUCAUUUCAUAAAUACAGUACAUAUGUUUGGAUACAAAGGUGCUCUUUUAAUGUGAAAGGGUACCACUGAAUCAAGCUUGUGCAAGCUAUGAAUAUAAUUUUCUAUAGGUGUAGUCUUGUGUGUACCUACCUUGGAGUAAAUUUCACUGUAAAAAAAAAAGUCCAAGGCAUAUAUGAUUGUGCUGCAAAUUGCUUUUCAAACUAGUUUCUCAGAAGUCAUACUGAUUUGUAGCAGCUGUCUCUUCACUUUGUUCUAUAAGAUAUGUAAUUGUCAUGGCACCCAAAUGGAUUUCAUAUGGCACCAAAAUAAACUGGAACAUAGUUUGCUUUAUCUAAUCA